This is a non-coding RNA of Otolemur garnettii (small-eared galago), 49 nucleotides long. The record is from Rfam. Lineage: Eukaryota; Metazoa; Chordata; Mammalia; Primates; Galagidae.
UCUCAAAAUUAUAUUUUUUCUAUAAAAAGAAAAAAAUGGAAAAAAUACA